GUUGCAUUUAGGCUGAAGUAUCAGAUCCAACUUCAACAUCACAAAACUCACUGAGGAGAACCAGGUUGAUCCUCUUGGUCCUCCUCGUCAUUGGUUGUCAAGUGUUCUGUCUGUGAGGUGCCCACACUUGAAAAAGACCAGACUUUGAAUUUCACUCAAUUUUUUGACCAGUUUCUUAGGUAGCCAUUUUGCUGGAUGGAUAGUGAGGUUCCGCACCACAUCUGGCCUUGACAUCCGGGAUUGGGGGCAGAACUCAAGAAUCUGGUCAACCAGGUGGACCUGAACACAGUGGAUGGGAAAGAGAUGGUCACAAUGAAGAAGCUGGAGUUUG
Molecule: long non-coding RNA, 331 nt
Organism: Oreochromis aureus
Lineage: Eukaryota; Metazoa; Chordata; Actinopteri; Cichliformes; Cichlidae
Exons: 3
Source: RefSeq, a predicted model, not a curated record